Molecule: long non-coding RNA, 490 nt
Organism: Helianthus annuus (common sunflower)
Lineage: Eukaryota; Viridiplantae; Streptophyta; Magnoliopsida; Asterales; Asteraceae
Exons: 2
Source: RefSeq, a predicted model, not a curated record
AUAUUUAUUUUACAUGAAGGGCCGCCUCAAGGCCCUGAGCCGUUUCUCUGAUCGUCUCACGUCUAAACCAAGUCGGUUAUCUUAAUAUGUAUUUCUCAUUUUAUUUGUUGAAGAGAGCAAAAUAGAGAGUAUAAAGAGGGACAAAAGUUGCUACAGAGAGAACAACCAAGCUGAGCUAACAUCUAAAAAAGAAUACUAUAGAAAUGCUUUAAGUGUAGCCAAAGAAGCUGAAGCAUUAGCAGAAUCACGGGCAAAUGAUGAAGCCAUAGUUGAACUAGAAAACCGCAUAAAGGAAUAUGAAGAACGUGAAGCUAUGUUAGUUUAUUGUGCAAGUAUAUGGAUUUGGCUUGUGUUGUUUUUGGAUUAAAAAUGUGUAGUAAAGUUGGCCUCUUUUGGUUAACAAAAAUGGUCCGAACAUUCUUAUCUUAUUUUCAGUAUUGUCAUAUUUGAUUAUUUUUAGUAAUUGAACAUUAUGAGUUGUGUGUUUUUA